RNAcentral lists this ribosomal RNA (465 nucleotides) under uncultured bacterium. RNAcentral's name for it is "partial 16S ribosomal RNA". It matches the Rfam family "Bacterial small subunit ribosomal RNA", at positions 338 to 795 of the family's 1533-position model. The record is from RNAcentral.
CCUACGGGUGGCAGCAGUGGGGAAUAUUGCGCACUGGGCGAAAGCCUGACGCAGCGACGCCGCGUGAGGGAUGAAGGUCUUCGGAUCGUACACCUCUGUCAGCAGGGACGAACGGUCACUGUGCUAAUCAGCAGUGAAUUGACGGUACCUGCAAAGGAAGCACCGGCUAACUCCGUGCCAGCAGCCGCGGUACUACGGAGGGUGCGAGCGUUAAUCGGAGUUACUGGGCGUAAAGCGCUCGUCGGCGGUAUGUCAAGUAAAGGGUGAAAGCCCCGCGCUCAACGUGGGAACUGCCUUUGAAACUGGCAAACUGGAGUGUGUGAGAGGAUAGUGGAAUUCCAGGUGUAGGAGUGAAAUCCGUAGAUAUCUGGAGGAACAUCAGUGGCGAAGGCGACUAUCUGGCACAUAACUGACGCUGAGGAGCGAAAGCGUGGGUAGCAAACAGGAUUAGAUACCCGUGUAGUC